AUUGAACGCUGGCGGCAGGCCUAACACAUGCAAGUCGAGCGGAUGAAGGGAGCUUGCUCCUGGAUUCAGCGGCGGACGGGUGAGUAAUGCCUAGGAAUCUGCCUGGUAGUGGGGGAUAACGUCCGGAAACGGGCGCUAAUACCGCAUACGUCCUGAGGGAGAAAGUGGGGGAUCUUCGGACCUCACGCUAUCAGAUGAGCCUAGGUCGGAUUAGCUAAUUGGUGGGGUAAAGGCCUACCAAGGCGACGAUCCGUAACUGGUCUGAGAGGAUGAUCAGUCACACUGGAACUGAGACACGGUCCAGACUCCUACGGGAGGCAGCAGUGGGGAAUAUUGGACAAUGGGCGAAAGCCUGAUCCAGCCAUGCCGCGUGUGUGAAGAAGGUCUUCGGAUUGUAAAGCACUUUAAGUUGGGAGGAAGGGCAGUAAGUUAAUACCUUGCUGUUUUGACGUUACCAACAGAAUAAGCACCGGCUAACUUCGU
This 483-nucleotide ribosomal RNA is filed under the name uncultured bacterium. Its description in RNAcentral is "partial 16S ribosomal RNA". It matches the Rfam family "Bacterial small subunit ribosomal RNA", at positions 30 to 506 of the family's 1533-position model. The record is from RNAcentral.